Molecule: long non-coding RNA, 2607 nt
Organism: Drosophila pseudoobscura
Lineage: Eukaryota; Metazoa; Arthropoda; Insecta; Diptera; Drosophilidae
Exons: 2
Source: RefSeq, a predicted model, not a curated record
GGGGAACGACCACCAAACACCCAGUUAUGCUGUACAAAAAGAGAGUGAGAGAGAGAGUGAGAGCGCGGCGCGUGAGAGCCGGGCAGGUAACUUGUGCUGUUAUGGGGUGGAUCUUGUUUGAGUCGCCACUCAAUCUCUCUCCCGCUCAGGCCAGACUUGUAUUUGCUCUUGUGCAUGUUGGGAGAGGGAGAGAGAGCGCGUGCUAAACAUGAUUUAAUGGACGCAUCGGCAUGGAAGCUGUGCUCCCAAAAAGGGUGACAAUUCACUUCAGCGGGGGGACUGGGCGCGAGGAAGGGCGACGUGACUCACUAGUGAUGCCACCACAUGAUGGUCCUUUGAAAGUGAAGCUAAAAGAAAUUGCAGCAGCUGCAGCUAAUUAUCCACUGGCCUGGCUUGAGUGAUGUGGUGGCAGCCAGGAAAGGAAUGUUAUUUGUGUGCCAGUCUGGCAACGCCGCCGCUCUUGAUGUUGCAACUGCAGUUGAGCAUCUCUGUUGCGCUCCCUCUCAGCAACAGCAUCCCAUAUUCCCAUAUUCGAAACAUUUUUUGUGUGUUGCUGUGUGCUGGUGUUUGUGUUUUCUUUGCAGUGCGACAAGUUCUUGGAACCCGUGCAGUACAAUGGAGUUGGUUGUGUGUGGAUGCUGGAGUUGUUUGAAGUUGGAGUUGGGGUUGCAGUUGCAGUCAACAAAGAAACAAGUCACCAAGAGAUACAUAGGAGAUGGCCAGGGAGCGAACCGUAUGGAGCAGGAGAGCAAAGUUGAGACAAAGGCUAAGAGAGGAUGGAACCCGGCUUUCACUGCAUUUCUAUAGUACUUUGAAACACACUCACGCACACGCACACACACACACACACCCAAACAGACACACACAGGCGCUGAUUAUAUCCAACGAUUUAUUUACCUGUAUGUCCCAGGCAUUGAGUAUGGAAGGAAACGUGAUUAGAGCGACUCUCCCAUGGUAUACUACAUUUAGCGGGAUUUUCCCCUGAAGCAUAGAGGCAGACAGACAGAGACAGAGAGAGAGGCCGAGCCUCGACGACUACCUGUUACACUCGUUCUCGUUGAUGUUGCUCUCCUUCUCAUUGUUGGUAUUUUUACCUUUUGCUUUGUCUUCUUUCGUUUGCCUCUUUACCUGUUUCUUCUUUCUUUCGAGUCCGACACCGUCCAUAAAUUCCGAAACCCAGCGCCAGACGACCCAUCGUUAGGGUCCACGACACUAUUGAAACUAUCUUAAGUUUUAAAUUAAGAAAUCCAAUGGCUUAUCUAUAUCAUAAAUGGUGUUAUAUAUAGUGUACACAUGACGCAAUCAAGAAGCCACUUCAACUCCAACAAGUCGACAACUUGAUUAGCAAUUAGCCAAAUUUUGGAUCGUAUUCGUUUCAGUCCGACCCAAAACCCGCGUAGUGCUCAAAGAACGGGGGCAAAACAUGAGAAAUGAGUCCUCCCAUUAGGCGUACGGCAAUUAAUAAUGAUUGCCGUCAACAACCUGAGAGACGAGCCAAUAAAAAUCAGUUAUAAAACCAUUAAGUCGAUACACAAGCGGACAUACGAGUGAGUAGAAGAUACAUUGCUGAUACGGCUACUGUCCGGGCUAUAAAUAGCCCCAGAAAAACCGCAACGAACCGAAUCGAAAACCAAACCCGAGACCGAAGCCUUAAUUGUCUAACGCCCGUGUAUCAAUCAGAUGGAAUGGGGGCUCCCUAUCCCCCCAUUCUCAAGUUUCGCACAAGUGUUCAAAGGAGAAAAUGGUAUCGUAUAAGACUCGCUCGAUUGUAAAUUUCCAAAAUAUAUGAUGAGAACGACAACAUUUCACAUGAUUUAUGGUUUAUCUCUACUUCAGUCUGUGAUUUCUUUAUUAAUUGACCAAUUGCCGGAUCUUAGUCAUCCAUCUACGUGAGGAGCCCAACGAAUGUCGGACAAUCAUCCAAGAAAAUUCCCCGAAAAUUCUCUGCGUCACUAUAUUAAAAUCAAGCUACGCCUGCGCUGAGCCUCUCUCUCGCUCUCUUGGUUUUUGCACACUCAAGAGGAGCUCUCUAAAAAGACAGUGCUGUUGGGCCUGCCAAUGAUCCACUCUCUCGCCGCUCCCUCGGUUUGGCUAUCUUAUAGAUACUUGGAUACACUCGUACUUUGUUUUGUUUGCCUAAUCAGUUUCUCGUGUCGGCGUCGCUUUGAGUGCAGCGCCACCAUUAAAGCCAUCGAAUCAAGUUCAUUUCGCAUACGAUUCUCCAUUAAGCCCUAUGAAUAAUUGGCAACAGGUGGCGAUUACCCCAAAAACGUCUUCGAGGUCUUCUUUUUCGUGCGGGGGAAGGGAGCUAAUGGCAAAAGGUAUGCUCUUGAAAACGUUUAUCAAUCUAAGACCCCUAGAAAUGUAUAUUCUCCAAAGGUCAAAGCCAAGGAAUCGUGAAAUCAUGGAACUUUAUACGCAUUACUCCUACGACAGGUAAUGUGGUUCAUUUAUUGAAUAUUCUAUGAAAAUUUGAGAGCAGUAUUCCUUUCAACGGAUACAAAUAUUCUGAGAAGAAAAAGUACCUCGCUUAUAACUCAUAGCUCUUAAUUUUAAUAAACAUGUUAAAUUUAAGGAGAAAAUAAAUUGAAAUUUAAAUAACAUGAA